This 224-nucleotide ribosomal RNA is filed under the name uncultured bacterium. RNAcentral's name for it is "partial 16S ribosomal RNA". It matches the Rfam family "Bacterial small subunit ribosomal RNA", at positions 8 to 212 of the family's 1533-position model. The record is from RNAcentral.
AGAGUUUGAUCCUGGCUCAGGAUGAACGCUGGCGGCGUGCUUAACACAUGCAAGUCGAACGGAGUUGAUCAGAGGAAGUUCUCGGAUGGAAUCGGAUUGACUUAGUGGCGGACGGGUGAGUAACGCGUGGGUAACCUGCCUCACACUGGGGGAUAACAGAUAGAAAUAUCUGCUAAAACCGCAUAAGCGCACGGGGCCGCAUGGUACGGUGUGAAAAACUCCGG